UACGUAGGGGGCUAGCGUUGUCCGGAUUUAUUGGGCGUAAAGAGCGUGUAGGCGGCCAGGUAGGUCUGGUGUGAAAACUCGAGGCUUAACCUCGAGAUGUCAUCGGAAACCAUCUGGCUAGAGUCCGGAAGAGGAGAGUGGAAUUCCUGGUGUAGCGGUGAAAUGCGCAGAUAUCAGGAAGAAUAUCCGUGGCGAAGGCGGCUCUCUGGGACGGUACUGACGCUGAGACGCGAAAGCGUGGGGAGCGAACAGG
Molecule: ribosomal RNA, 253 nt
Filed under: uncultured bacterium
Lineage: Bacteria
Description: partial 16S ribosomal RNA
Rfam family: Bacterial small subunit ribosomal RNA
Source: RNAcentral